This is a long non-coding RNA of Vespula vulgaris, 16392 nucleotides long. RefSeq lists it as uncharacterized. The transcript is spliced from 6 exons. The record is from RefSeq and is a predicted model, not a curated record. NCBI's taxonomy places the organism in Eukaryota, Metazoa, Arthropoda, Insecta, Hymenoptera, Vespidae.
UUAGCCCGUGGGUCUCCGUAAGCAGCAACCUCCAUGUGGUGAGACCUGGAAAUUGAUAUUACUUGUGAUAUAUGAUAAAUGUAAAUAACAUAAGUACUGUCAAGCUAAUGGCUGCAUUUAAAUUCAAUUAAAAUUUAUUAUGAUGAUUUUAACUAUCUUUCCAAAUUUUUUAUUUUCCAAUCUCAAUAAAGAUUAGAUAAAUUAACUUUUUAUUUAACAAAAUCAUUAUUAUAUCUGUUUUGAAAUUAAAUAAUACAUAUAUGCAAUAAAUUUUUUUAAUGAUAUUUUUAAAAUUUCAAAAGAAAUUUUUAAUAUUUCGUUGUCGGAAUGUCAAAAGAAACUAAGCCGAUAAUUAUCAAAGUCCGUGAAAGUACAUUUUUGUUGAUAUAUUAGGAAUUUUCGUAGGAAUUAAACAGGAAUCUACUAUUACAGCCGCGUUUUGCUUUGUCGCUAGAACAGGAGGUUGUUAUUACCGGCAGUUUUACUUGGUUGAUAAGUAAGAAUUCGCUAUUAUAGACAAUUUUAUUCGGUUCGUAAAAACAAGAAUCUGUUAUUAUCGAUAUUCGAUGAAAAUGGUAUUUAUAUUACCGACCGAUAAUUUAUUAAUUUCUUGAAAAUGAUCCUUUGCUAUCGAGACACUCGUCAUAUUUUUCAGUACUCCUUUUGCUCCGUUAAGGGGAUAUUUGCAAUUCGCAUGGAAACUCGAAAAAUGAUUUUUUUUUAAAUUUUAUUUGUUGUUUUGACGCGAUAAAUAUGUAAAAUGUACUACUUUUGUAAAUUUUAGUGGAAAUUGUUAUCUAGUACUUUUUUAUGGAUAAAAAGAUAUGGAAAAAGAAGAAAUCUAUGAUGAGAAUUUGGAAUUGAAUGAAAGUGAAGAGGAAUUUGAUCCUUAAAUAUUAAAGAAAAAUUUAAUUGUUUUUAUAAUCAAGAAUAAUGUAAAUGAUAAUGAUUCUGAGCUUAUUAAUAGCGACAACGAAAUUAUAGUAUGAGAUAGACGAGAAGAAUUGGAAUUAUUGAGAGUAAAAGAAAAUUCGUCGAAACAGGAAGAUGAAUCGAGCGAUAACACUAAAAGUGUGAAGAUUACAGAAGGAAUUAGAGUGUGGCCAGAAGUCAUUGGAUCACAAUUUCCUUCAGAUACUGUAGAACCGAUGCAAUAUUUAUAAUUGUUUUUCAUGGAAAAAUUCCGGAAAAGAGACCUUGUUUAUCAAUGAAGAAUUACGCCUUUUUCAUUGUUAGCAUAAACCACUAUAAAACCAAGGGUGAUGAAUAGCCUUAAAGGAAAUUUUUUUUGUAAUUUAUUUUAUCCUAACUAUAGCCGAUAUUAUCGAUAUUGAAUUUCAAAGUUCACGUCACCACAGAUGAGGUUUAAGAGCUUCGAGCCCCAUAAGAUCCAAAGUUUAAUCGGAUCUGAAGUUGCCGUUGGUUUUCUUUGGACGGUGUUAUCGGUCGUUCCUCUGCGUGAAAUAAUUCGGGAAAAAGUCAAUCUGCCUAAAGUAUUCUACAUGUAUUUCGCAUUUCAUUUGAUCAUCGUAUAUGAAUUAAAUCGAUUAUGUAUAUACAUAUCGAAUAUAUUUUAAUUAUCGAUUAAUCGGCGUCAUCUUUAAUGACGAUUGAAGGCAGAGCAUCGAAAGCAGAUUUCAGAUAUUAUUUAGCGAAUAUUUAAUUUUAUAUUAACCACAUCUAUAAAUUGUGAUAAAAUAACAUUAGUACAUGCUCUUUAUACUGUAAUCUAUAUUCGUAAUAGUAGAUUUUGUGUAUUUUUCUUCGUAUUUCAAGAUAAUGGCAAGAUAGAAUAUCAUCGAGCUUAUUGAAUAUAUACGGUCAUGUGUGUGCAUAUGUAAAACUGGACCACUACUAGAUUAUAAAAAUAUGGAUCAAAAAAGACAUUGAGUUAAUAAACGCGAUCGGAUGAGUACAUUUUUCUUGUUUAUUAAAUGCAUUUUAUACGAAACUUUUUCAUUCUAACGAACAGAACUUAAUUUUUCGAAGAGAGAUAAUGUAACGCGUUAGAAUUUUUGAUGUAAGCUCGAUUUCGUAUCGCGACAGGUAAUUUUUAUUCCACACUUUUAACUUGUUUUCUCACGCGAAACAACCACAUUUUGUAGUUGUACGAUCAUUACGUCCUAUAGCUAUAUAACCUAUAUCUAUUUAACGUAAAUUCGUCUUCCUCCCUCAUUCUCUAUCUUUCUCUCUCUCGUCGUUCGGUACGUUUCAAAAUUACUGCCACGUUAUCGAAGAUUCAGCAGAGAGAUAGUCGACUAAUCUUCGUGUUUACGAAUGCUUAGCUCGACUUAGCUUUCGUGCCACGUACCUAGCGUGCGAGAAACAUUUGUAUUUAAUUCGAGUUCCUCUCUCUCUCCCCGUCUUUCUCUCUUUCUCUCUUUCUCUCUUCCUCCCCCUCUCUUAGAGUAACGAAUAUUCGAGCAUUUUAUAGACGAAUAUAACGUCGUCGUGACCUAUCGAAACGAAUAAUGGACAAUACAUUAUACCUGUCUCGUGUUAAUAUUUAUUUCUAUGAGAGAUAAGAUUAUUUCGAUGAUAUCUAUUAAUGAGAAUUUCGAUUUAAUCGCAAUAUCCAUGGUAUUCAAAUUUAAAAUAGAAAUUUUUUCGUAUGUACAUAAAAUGAAAGAAAGAAAAGCUUAUUAUAAUUUCUUUUUUCGAUGGAUAAAAACAUCCGAGUAAAAGAUAGUCGUUAGAUGUAUCCAUUCGGUUAUCGAAACGAAGUCAGUGCGAAGUGGUGGGGUGACCUCGACACGAUCCAGCCAAAGGUCUUCUCUGAGACAAUUUAAUCAACUUCGGGAAGUUUGCGGGUAGCAGCGGUAGUCGGGUUCAGUGCAUGCAUUGUAUACUAGCCAGGGGAAUUUUGUGGACAUUGCGCGGUCAACCACUAUAAUAUUAAUAGCUUCGGUAUGAAAUUUGCUUAAUCAUGACUAACGGGAUGACCCAAUGGAAUCGGCCGACGGUUCGUCGUUGUCCAGCCGCUCGAUGUGCCAAUCUCCAAAGCGUCGGAUUCUCGCCGAGCGCGACCGCGUUAAAUUGAUGCCAAAAUUUGCCGGAUUUGUCUCGGAUACUAAAGCCCGCAAUCCCUGUUCCUCUCCUCCUCCUCCUCCUCCUUCCUCUCUUUUUGAAGUAUAUGCGAGUGGACGUACAUGUCUAUCGUUCGUUAUAUUUCUCUGUGUACCUCUUCUCUUGCUCAGUUUCGGCAAUUUUUAUAGUAGAUAUUAAAACACGUCGAAUAGGAACGACGUUAAAGACAAAACGAGGGUAAGAGAGAAGAGAUGAAGAGAAGAGGCGACAAGGAAGAGAAGGAAGAGAGAAAGGAUAGGGCUUCGGAGUGUCAGCUGCCGUUGGGAUGGUAAUGAGAGGUACCAUAACGUUAACGGGCGAACGCAUACAUUCGAGCAAUUACGGUGCUCCGACUAAUUUCCGUCCCUAGGCAAACUUGAGGAAUUUCAGGGUGGCGAGUACGUGGCUGCCGAGGACGACGCUGCCGAGUGUAAAAGGGGCAAAGCGUGCGCUGGGAGGUCGUCGUAGGACCGUGAAAGGAAGGAAGGAAAGGGUGGGGCUACGAGUGACCAUUUCGCUAGAUCUCCGCAUUUUCCCAUUCUCGCGAACACUCACGAACGACCGCGGUUACAUAUAUGUACAUAUAUACGUAUAUACAUACGAACACAGACAAGACGCACGGUCCUCGCGUUUACGCUCGUCGCACGGCAAACGAGGGCUGGUACCAACGCGUUGCCUCACGGAGAAACGAAAGGGUACGAGGCUGAGAGGGAUGUUUGUUAAAAGAAUUUUCAGCGGCGAACACGCAGCCGGCAGCAGGUAUUACGGGCUGGAUUAAUUCGCAACAAAAAUAUGUGAAAUAUUUUCGCCUCGUAGGGGAUGGUUUGCUUCGGGGUUUGCUCGAGGGAUGAGCAGACGCACGCGUACGUCCUGAACGGCAAAAAGUUCGUUCUCGCUUCUCUCUUUCUCUUUCUCUUUCUCUCUUUCUCUCUCACUCUUUCUCUUUCAGUCUCUCUUUCUCUUUCUCCGUCUCUUUCGGUACACCAAUACGUUGUCUCAUCUACACAUGUAUUUAUGUAUGUAUGUAUUAUACUUGCAUAUGUAACACUGACUGACCCGCUCUCGACGCGUGUUUUGCUUUCGGAUUGCGCGCCAAGUUUUUCACGAUAAAUCGUCGUCGCCGAGCCGACGACGACUACGACGAGGGUCAAAGACCGAAGAGACAAACGCACUCCGGACGAGCUUCGACCGCUUUGAUAUCGGACCUCCUAAUGAUGCUGACGCUACCAAGAGGGCGAGUGAAAGAGAAAAGCUCGCUUCUCCAGUGAGAAGAGUAAAAAGAGCGAUUAAUUAUGCUUCCGUGCUUUGUUUCUUUCUAGUGGAUACGAUACGUUUUCCUUUCGUUUCACUUUUACCAAAAUUCUCUUUUUCUUUUCUUAUUUGUCAAGAGAGAGAGAGAGAGAGAGAGAGAGAGAGAGAGAGAGAGAGAGAGAGAGAGAGAGAGAAAGAAAGAGAAAGGAAGAAAGAAAGAAAGAGGGAGACCUAAUAAUGUAACGGGACUUGAUUAAUGUUUCGUGAUAUUUCAUCAAGAUUCGUAUUAAUUUUAGAAACGAAUAGGUAGGAAUAGUAGAGAAUUUAUGUUUUACUUUAAAAAUAUUGCUUCCUCUAAUAAAUUCGUUCGGAUUUCAUAUAAUAUACAUAUUUUUUUUAGAAACUUCAUUUCCACGUUAUUAUUUUGUUUUCUAUUCAUUGAUAUCACAUUAACAGCUUAUGAUUAUUAGUGAUAUACUGUAAUGUAUCGAUAGAUCGUUGAAAGAUUUUAUUGGGAAUUGAUUUAUGUGUAUAAAUCGGGAAAAAGUAUGAUUUCAAGAUCUCAAACUAACGAUAUUUCGAGCCAGACGAACGAGAGGAAGAACGUUCUUUGUGCUGGCAUCGUUUAUAAAUAUAGCAAUGGUAUGUAAAUGGAAGAUCUGUGGCAUUCACGAAUCGUUCUCGUACCGGUCUCGUUGCUAUUCUCACGUGUCCGGACAUCGUUCCGCGUCCAAAGAUUCUUCAACUGAAUUCCUUCGCAGGUGCUGAGAAUAGUCAAGUCAUUCAAGAUCUUGGCUCGAGUCGAGCCAUUCUUCUCUCUCUCUCUCUUUCUCUCUCAAGAGUAUCUCUCCUUCCGUCUUAACUCCAACAGGGAAGUCGACUCUGUGCAUGGAUUAGCGCGUUCACGCGAACAAACGUUUUCCGUUUCCCGAUGAAUCUCGAAUACUUAAGUAAGUACUUACAUACGUACAUCGUUAAAAAUGAUGAUUUCAUUUUGUGAGAAAAUAUAUAAUAUAUAAUUACUAUUGAAAGAGAUGUGAAAGAUUGCUUAUAGGUCUUUCUUUUUUUUGUUUGUGAAUAUCCUCUGAUAUUCCAUACUUACGUAAUAUAAAAUGGUAGAAUUUACUCAUAACUCUUUUUUUCAGAUAUUAAUUUUCCUUACAAUACUUUACAAAAGAAAGGGAAGAAAGAAUGAAUCCAUUUGUCCGUUGAACGACUCGUCGUACGGUGCAAUCGACUAUGUUUUCUCUUUAAAGAUAAAACCGGAUAAAAAGUUCCUCCUGUAAAUUCUCGGUCGUGAUUAAACUCGAAUUACACGCAUCAACGUUGGAAGUAAGGUGUAGGAUGGAGUAUGUAGGGGUGCAUUCGACGUAAUCGAAGUAUCGCGUGCGGCUUUGCUCCCGGAACGAUAAUUCCAUUACGCGAGAGAACAAACGUACUCUCGCUUUCUUUUACUCUCUAACACGUAUAAGCCAAAGGUAGGACAUUUUUAUCGGCGGUGAUCUGAUAUUUUCGCCGAUCGAGCGACACAACGAACGAGAGGGUAGGUAAAAGCUGCUGCUGCGUGAGAUACGCGAGUAAUUCUCGUCGCAUGGGAAAGCCACGUUCCAACGGGCAUAAAUAUAUCGACGAACGCUAUUCCACGGAUGGCUUCUCCACGACACAUCGACGAACAGAUCGCGUCGCCGCAAUCGGCUUCCAACUACUACUCUCUUCGGCAUUUCGCCACCUCCUUCCUACGUAUUCUUCCUACGGUCUCUAUUUAUGUUCCCGCAUUACUUUACCUGUCGUAUUUCGUUUCAAAAGACGAGUACAAUUCAUCGGUUUGGAUUUAGGAAGGAAUAGUCACGAUGUAUCUUGCACCGAUUCGAUAUCUUGUAUUUUGCCGAUCUACCGUUCGAAUCGUUCCACGUAAAAUCGAUCAUUUUUUAAAAAAUGAUUCUUUGAUUGCGUUAAAAAUCAAAUUUUUUACUUACCAAUUGGUUCUGAAUAAAUGUACGUAAACAUAUGGGAUUUGGAAUGGAAAUUAUUUAUAUGGACAUCUAUUCAGUUAAAGCAACCACUCAAUCUGCUAAGCAGAGAAAAGAUUAUAUUAAGAAGAUUAAGAAUUGGCCUUGUCAAAUUAAUGCAUUCAUUUUAAUAUUUAAAUGUGAUCGGUCUUAUUGCGAUAGCUAUAAUUCAGGGCUGUUAAACAUAUUUUAUAAGUAUGUUAUAUUUCAAUGAUGGUAAAUAAAUUAAUUAAAAAAGAAAAAAAGACAAAAAAUAAAUAUACGUAAAAUGAUAGGAAAGAAUAUUAAAAAUUUUAUAUUACAUUACAUUAUAUAUUAUAACACAUGAUUUACAAUGCAUUAUUUAAUAAUAUUUUUCUUCCUUCAUUACGGCCAAUUGAAGGAUCAUAACAUAUUUGAUUUAAACGAAAUUCAAGAUCUUGCUCGAAUAAUUAUAACUCGAUUUCACGUUGAACGAUUCAAUGCAUCUUUUAAAUUCGCUUUCAAUCAUAAAAAGUUAUCUCGUAAUGAGUGUUACAAAAAAUUUGUUUUCCAUCUACGUGAAAUAUUUAAAAAAUGGAAACGGAGCUUUUUGAGCUUGUUUUUUCGUUUCAAACUCUCGAGUGAUUCGAUACGAUGAUAUUUACCUUUAAAGACAGUAAUUCGAUCGUUUACCGCGGAUCUUCUUUGCUCAUCGAAGAACCGUUUUAUCUCAGCUCUUUUUCGUCUCGAAAGCUCUUGAAAAAAACUGUGCUUGCAGGCAAGACACUCGUUGUUGUCGUUUUUAUAGUUACUUGAUCUUCAAACGGGACCCACUAACGAUCCUUUUACGAAGGCGAGCAUGCGUUAUCGAAUGUUUUUCCAAGAAUUUAUAGGGACAAGCUCGCUCAUUUUAUCAUCUCUUUUAGCCUGGCCUUGUAAAUAAAACUUUUAAUUGAAUGUUAACUAGAACUUCCAAGUUAAAGUUACUCGAGAAAAAAGAUUUUAAUGAAGUAUCGUGGUUUAAAAAUUUCAGCAAAAUAAGUAUGAUAUACGAGUGUAAAAAAAUGUACGAGUGUUCAACGAAAAUAUACGAAUCUGUUAGAAAUUAAAAAAGGAUACCAUCUAAUUAUUUCAUAUGAUAGGAUUAUCGUAUUACGAAUACAUACGAAAUAAAUGUAAAUACUUUUAUUCUAAUUAUAUUUCUAAUUUUGAUUUUUUCUUUUCAUUUUAUGAAAUUUUAAUUAUUAUUAUUAUCAUCAUUUUUAUUCUUCUUCUUCUAUUGUUGCUGUUGUUGUUGUUGUUAUUGUUAUUGUUAUUGUUAUUAUUAUUAUUAUUUUAUUAUUAUUAUUAUUAUUAUUAUUAUUAUUAUUAUUAUUACGGAUGACUGUUCGAUAUCGUCCAUCGUUCGAUCAAAGCUUUUAUCCUGUGCUCCAUACUUCCCGCUCUCGAGUUUAUCACUAGAAUUUAACGAUCCUCUUUAUCCGUGGGACACAAUCGUGCACGCAUCGCAUUGAAGAGAGUCGAAUCGAACGAACGAGGUCUCUUCCUUCUUUACGGGCCUCACUUUUUAGAGAUCCCAUAUAAACCCGCUGGAAUUGUCAAGCUCGCCAAAGCGAAUCCUAGUAAUAAAAAUCGGCUCUGCGUAUCCGUCCAUUCACGCACCCUUUCUUUUCUCUUCUUUUUCUCUCUGUCUCUUUGUCUCUUCUCUCUCUCUCUCUUUCUUCUAUCGGUACCAUCAUUGCAUUCACGAGUGACGAUCGAUUACAAUACGUCACGGACAAUACCAUUCCGAACAGUGCGAAUUUCAUUCAUUCGUUCGUAUCGCACAGGGCGCACGGGAAAAGUCAAACUGCCAUGACGCUUUCAUAUUUUCUCUUUCCAUCUCUCUCUCUCUCUCUCUCUCUCUCUCUCUCUCUCUCUCUCUCUCUCUCUCUCUCUCUCUCUCUCUCUCUCUCUCUCUCUCUCUCUCUCUCUCUCUCUCUGCGUAAGUCUUGCGUGAAUUCCCAUUGCGUCGCAUCGAACGCAGGUAUAAAAAGUUAUUCGUUGAGUAUUAUCGUCGAUAUGAUCCUUCUUCGGCAUUGUUUCACGCUUCUCUGCGUAUCUCCGAGCCGGAUGUCGAUUUUACGCGCUAGCUUUUCCGAGCUUGCAUCGUACCAACUGGGAUUUGGAUGCUGUAAGUUUCAACCAGAUACGAAUCGGCACAUUUUUUAUAAACACGUCUAAAGCGUAGUUUCGCGAAAUGCGAAUCGAUAAAUAUCGUAGAUAAAGAGAAGUUUGCAAGGCUUUUUUAUCGAGUAUUCAACACUUUAGAUCAGUUUAUGUUUAUUUUAUUUUUCUUUUCUUUUUAUAGUUUUUUGUUCGCAGCGUUUUGUUAGAUGUACAUUUUUCAUCGAGACAGUAGUUCAUUAAUUUCUUCUCGUGACGAAGUUUUCUCGAUUUACAAACCCUAAAGCAACGAAUUGAUUCGGUAGUUUCUUUUUAUUACCUGAGAAGUAGAUCUGCCAGUAGCAGUAUCGUUUUCUCGUCUCUUCUCUCGAGCUAGCUGUCUUAAAUAUUACGUGGUCGUGGCUGUUGCAGUUGAAGCGAUGCUUUACGAGUCUCCUGAGCUUUACACGUACGAAAGCAUUAAACUCUCGUCCAGGUGGUAACCGCGUAGUCGUAACGUAGCAAAUGAAAUGUUGCUACUUUUACGAAAGAACGACCACGGUUCUACGGUUUAGCGGGGGAGAGAGGUCAAGAGAGAGAAAAAAACCUAGAGACAGCCAAAAGAUACGUUUAAAUUCUUACUGUAAGCUUCGAAAGAGAUAUAUGUAUAUAAUUUUUUUACCUUCAAAUGAUUACAGUAAGGAUGAGUGGCUGCUGCAAAUAAAAUGUGACAGAUAACAUAUUCAACGUUAUAUCGGCUAUAAAGAAAAACUCGGAAUGUCAAUUUACGAAUAAGUAAAGAAAGUGAUGCAUUUUACUGUAUCAUUUCUUAUAUAGUUUUUUGUACGAUUAUUUACCGCAUAAACAUAGAUAGCAAACUUUCAAAGAGAUAUCUUUAAAAUCUUUCAUAAUCAUCUUCUAUACCUACAUAUACGUACAACUUUGAUAUUAUAUAUACAUUAAAAUAGAGUUUAUCUUGUAUACGUAUCCACGCUCGACUUUGUAGGAUAUACGAAUAUGAUAAUGUUCGACGAAUUCUGCUUGACGUAUACGUUGGAUGCGUUUGGCGGCGAAUGCUCUUAUAUGGAACGAAUGAUAGAUAUACGAACGCUUGUUAAGCAUACGCGAGAUACAUAUGGAGAAAUAUGGUCGGCCGACGAAUAAUGCAAUAUCUACUGAAUACUAAUCGCGCGUUCACCGUGAUAUAUUCGCGCUACACCAAACCUCGCAUAACUUUCGUUGGGUAAACGUCGACGAGGAAGACGCGUGACGAAGGAUAAUUUAUUUAUCGUGAUAAUUAUUUUAAACUCUCUUUUCCGGAACGACGACAAUGACGACGACGAUGACGACGAACGAACGGAGUUUCGGAACUAUAAAGUAACUUACGUCGUUGUUGUUUUUUACCGUUCCGGUGAAGUAGAAAAUUUUCGGACCGAGCCUUUUUGCUCCACGAGUAACAGUGACUGAUGGCUCAUCAUCGCGCGCCAUUGUGUUCGGAAACGAAUGGCCACGUAUCUUACUCUCCUUCGGGAUAGACGGUGCGACUUUAUUCCCAUGCACGCGCGCGCGCGCGCGCACAAUCGCCGUGUUAUCGACCCGUCGAACAAUUUCUAGCUGAAACCACGUGGUAAUAACCUCCAAUGCGGUGACACAGUUUUUCGAAAGACGCGAAAAGGAAAAAUAAUGAUACGUGUCGUAGACAGGAACUGGAUAUAUAUUUCAAAUCCAACAUGCUGUGCGGUACAACCCAUUCGUGGUUAAUAUAAAAGAAAUUUUUAUUGAUUAGUUGUUACAUUUUACAUGGAUUAGUUUUCGUUGCGUCUGGAUUAUCUGUUUAAUAAAUGUUUCUUGAUUUCUAGUUAUAGCCAUCGUCUAAUUUCCUAUCUUAAUAGUAUGUUUAUUCGUGGUUAAAUCAUUUAAUUAUCUACGUCAUCUGUUAUCGCGUAAUCAUCUUGUCAAAAAUCUGUAUUCCUACUCAUCGUGCAUUCAAAUUAUAUACGAGCUAAGCGUUUACGUGCUCCUUUCAUUGAUAGAGAGAAAGAGAGGAACCGAGGUACAUACACUCCCUACGUGACACUUUCGCGCGGAAAGUGUAAAUCAUGAAGGCCAAAAAGCCGUACGCUUUCGAGCGCGCACACAGUCGACCAGAUGGAUCGUUAAACGCGCUUAAUAUGCAGGUAAUGCGUCGAGACAGCGUACCCACCGCCUGUCCAUAUUAAAUUCUUAGCGGAUUCCACGCGUCGCGCUUAAUGUCGUUCAUUAAUCAAUGCUUUGUGCGAGCGCCACUAAGUGGGAUCCAAAUGUUUCGACAAGACGAGCUUAUUUUUAUUUUCAAGCGUGCUACCCUCGUCCUCUCUCUCUCUCUCUCUCUUUUUCUCUGUCUCUCUCGAAGAGUUUCGCCCCCAUUGUGCGUCGCGUCGUAACGUUUCACCGAUACAACGUUGCAGCAGACACCGGCCGAUGCUUGUCCCGGUAUAUUACCGCCUGAAUACAUUGUAAGUUAUGGGGCCCCAUUAUAUGUAAAGCAGGAUGUGUCAGGUCAGCUAUACUCGUCCGUUCUCCCAUCCGAGGAGAGCGAAGACGUUCACGUGGGGAGCGCCUCGUCAUUCUUCGAACGAUCGCGUUAAUACGACGGAGAAAGGACUUUUCGUCGCGUUAGAAAACCUAAUUUAGAGCUAGGGCUAAGGAUGAGGCUGUUUGGGUAUUCAAAUCCACGAAUUUUCUCCGGAAUACCGAAUUUUUUUUCGGCUACGGCGAUCGGUCCGGUCCGUGAGAUAAAGGAUUACAUCGUUUGUCGAUUAUUUAUCUUUUUUAAUCAAAGAUCCGAUUAAGGGAUCCUUUCGUUUAUAAUAUACCUGAGAAAUGAGAGCUCGCUUUAAUAUAUACAUUUUAUUUGGAACCGCUGAAGUUAUUUUUUUAAGUAGUGCGCGCUUCAUAUUCAUCAGAUAUUAAAAGAAAAUAGUGGAUGCCGCGCGCCUACAAGUAUAAUAUUCAUAUCUAUGUAUAUCUCUUUACUUUCUGCGGAGAAUAUGAAAUACGUUUUCCGCAUAUGUAUUAUUCAGUCGUUGCUUUUUGUUCGUUUCCCGGCCCGCCAUUUUAAUUUAUAUCAAGAUAAUUUCGUUGCGUAACGACGAAAUAACAAUUUCUUGUUUCUUCAUUUAUUUGUGAUACAUUAUUAGCCCGUUAAUUAGCAUGUUUUACAUUUGUUUGUUUUAUUUUGAUCGUUGUUUGUCGAAUGCAUUUUGUAUAGUCAUCGAUGCAUUCUACGUGUGGUAAUGCAAGCGAACUUUAACAGAUGCCGCCACAUUUUCCUUUCUGUCUUUAAAACAUUCGGGGACAUUCCAUGAAAUUCCUGGUGUGAUGGAUUUGCGAAACCUACAUCAUUUCCAUCGGGAAAUAAAUGAAUGCGAAAUUGUUUAAGUAAUUGGAAAUAUAACACAUAACAAUAACAAAAAAAUAGAAAUAUACGAGGUUGACCAGCAAAUAUCGAGGAUUUAUUUGCAGUCGAAUCAUCGAUGUACGACGUGUAAACCGUAUAUAUCACUGCGAAUCGUUAGGAACCUCGUGCAUCGAUGUUGUUUGAUGUUGGACGUUGCUGCGGUGGUGGCAUGCGGCGGAAAGGUUAAUAAUAUCAAUCGAUACCGCGGGCAGAAAUUUUUCAUACUCUCUACCCGGUAUUUGUGGACGUCUACUGCAGCACGGCUUAUUGGUCGAUCGUGUACGAGUUGUGUGUGUGUACACGAGACACGCCAACUGACCAUUAUGCAGAUUUCUAAUGAUUAGAUAUAUCGGUCCUACCUCGGUAAAAUGAAUGUAAUGUACCUUUGCAGAAUUCUACCUUUGCUACGUUCAUCCUGCCCCGUUGGUACUUCCCUAAUUCGUUAUCUUGACUAACGACCUCUUGUCUUUUACUUGAGAGAGAAAGGAGGGAUGGUAAUUCAAUAAUAAGUCGAAGAAAUUUCCGAAGUUAAUUUUGAACAAUCCUGAAACAACAAACUUCACUAUCAUAUAGGUUUAAUGUAUAUAAGUAAAUUAUUCUAUUUAAAUAGUUUAUCAGUCAAGCAAUUUAAAUAAGGUUUCCAUUUGAAUGCAAAACUUCUUUCUGUCUCAUGAGGUAUAACUUCGCUAGCAAGAAAAUUGCUAAGUUAUCCUUCUAAUAGUUUCAAAUUCCGUGUGGUCGAUAUUUAAUACGAUCGCAUAAGUGAAAUUUACGAGAUGAUUUAUAACAGGUUGCUCUACUUUAUUUCUAUCAUUUUCGUUGGUUAUAUCAAAGUUUGUUAUUGAAAAUGAGAGACAAAUUACCGCAUCUUCGGAAGAAAAUAUUUGGAAGUAAUAAUGACGGGAAAAAGUUAAUUCUUUUCCGAUAAAUUGAGAAUAGUCGAUAUUUGGAUAGUCUUGAAGUCUUAUUCGUUCGCCGUGCGGUGGGAAGUACGUGCCAAAGGCUAAAGAGUUAAUAUUGUCGCACAGGUGUUGCCAUAACGAGGGUCUUCUCGUGUCUCCUUAAUACACAGGUCGUUGGUAACACCAGCCAAGUGGAAAAGCAACGCGGCGCGAUCUCGAAGCGUAACAACGGUAGGAAGACGUCGCUUUACGCUGUUUAUGAGUGCAGUAAUCUUUAAAGCGGCCUGCUAACUGUGACACCAAAAGAACGUUUCGAUGCUGCUGGAAGGCGAGAGCAUAAGGAAAACAUUUUCACGAUCCUUGCCAAGUAUAUCGCAUUCUUGACGGUAUAUCUCUCGCGAAAUAUAUAAUACACUUCGUGAGUUUGGAACAUUAGUUGCGAGGAGUAAUAAAUAAGAAAUCGUUCGUAACUUAUAUCUAUAUUUUCUCGAAUCGAUCACCUUUUCUUGAAUUUUUUCUCUAUAAGAAAAGUACAAACAGAAUAUCACGACAAUUUCCAAAAUGUCCAACAUAUGUCUUUUGUCCUUUUUGUCAUUAAUUUUGAACAGUUGGAAAAGUAGUUUGUAAGACGAUGCUACAGUGUCGUGGGCCCUUUGAUAAAACCCGUGAAUGAUUCGUCGAAUGUUAAUGUACCAUCGCAUUAAUAUUCAUGAGUAGCCUAUCUCUCGCGCGUCCCAACAUUUACAACUGAAACGGAUACGUAUGAAGCUGUGCGCGCAGGCACCCUGUCUCUCUCUCUCUCUCUCUCUCUCUCUCUCUCUCUCUAUGUAUAUACACACACACACACACACAUAUAUAUAUAUAUAUCUUUUUCUUUCUCUCGGUUGCAUUCCUUGAGAACCGAGUACGGUGACUUCGAAAAGAAACGACGAUGCGGCUGGCUCGACGCGUUCGCUUUUUCGAUGAAUAAAGAGUGCCGUAGUACGAUUUUAUUGAAUCUACUAGAAAAGAUACGUCAUUGCGGAAUGAUCGGCUCUCUUAAAAUUUCCUUCCAGGUCGGUGACUUUUUUAUUGGAUUACGUAGCUCGAUAUAGCGGCUGUAAGUUAUGCUCAAUAUUAGCAUAUUUCAAGCUGUAUAAUUUAUGCAUCCAUUACAUCACCAGGGAGAAAGGGGAGAAAGUUAAAGGGGUGGACUUCGUACAUUACCUUGGAUUCGAAAAGGGGACGAAGUAGAACGACGAUGAUGACGACGACGACGACGACUACGACGACAACGAAGAGGAGGCUCACCACCGAAACGAGGAAGUCUCGUUUAUUGAUUUUAUCUCCUAACAAAAUACGUCGUACCGUGGAUACUUCGGGAGGUAAUAUUAUCGAUCAGUCAACUCCAAGAGGAUACGACGACGAAGAACGAACGAGAUGAUGAAGAAUUCCGAUUUAUGGUUUUCCUCUCUCGGAACUUCCGCAUGGUGAGAUCUGGAAAUCGGUAUUGCCUACGACGUUUAUACAUUUUCCAUGAUACAACGUAGCCACUGUCUGAGCUAAUGGCCGACAUUCGAUACAUUAGAAAAUUUUGGUACAAGCCGACGGAGAACGGAACCAACUAACAAUGCCUGGUCAUACAUCGAAAUCGCGAAGGACACGGUCCUCCUGCAUACAAACGAAAGAGGAGGACAUUCGGGUUUUCUUAAUCAGCGAGGGGAAGGAAAGUUGACUCGUACGAAUUACUCGACAAGCACGGAAGGCGAUAAUUUCGAGGGGCGAAACUCCUUUUAUGGUGCAUCACCGAGGUCUCCAUUUGCGUCUACCUCUUCGAAAGAUCUCGACGAUAAUACACGGAUCUCCGACUUCCAUUAUGGCGGAUAGAAGAACGGAAACGGCGGGAUAACGACCGCGACGGUGAUACGCGACGGAGGUAGUACGCGUCUGGGAGCAAGCAGAGGGCCGGAGGGCUGAUAGGGGCAGCUCGAGAGACAGCUGACAAGGUCAUGGAAUUCGUUAGAGCAGGGCCCGUGUAACGAGGAAACUUUGGCACCUAUCGGAUGAGCCGGGGGAAAAGAUCGAAGGAGAUGCAAUGGGAGAGUACAGUUUGGAAAUUCGAGGGUACAUGACCAGUUCGAGGCAUCUCCCAGCGAGUCGCCGGUUAUGAAGUUGGAGGUUACGAGUCCGCAUCUGGCGCCACAUGGCCCCUUUACCCUCUACUCCCUCUCUUCCCCUUAUCCAACCAACUUUCCUCAUUUGCGAUAAUGUAUGGCCACCCAUUAAGGCGGAGGCAUAGACCGAUCUUAACCAGGGAACAGGUAACGGGUAGCCACGUAAAAUGUUCCCGGCUGGCAACGAAGAAAUUAACGGGAACACGAGUCAUUCUGCGGACUCCGAUUGCAAAUGUUGCUACCAGAGAAUUCAUUUUGAUAUACAGAGUGAUUCUAAAGCGUGAUUAACAAAUAUAUAUUUUAAAAAUUAAAAGCAAGAUAAAAGAUUUCUAGAUUUUACGUAUAGGAAUGUAGAAAAUGUAAUAUAUCAUAGAAUUUCUAUUAGGUAUCGGUCAUUUUUUUACCUAAAUACAAUAUCAUAUUCAAUAAACUAGGAAACAUGCUUGAAACGAUUUGUAUACUCUCGAGCGAUAGGUAAUAGACUUUGGAAAUAGGAUUAGAAGUCACUGUAAAGUUUAUCGAGCGUGCAAUGUGGAGCGGUGAGUUUGAACAGGCUCCAUGCGUUACUCUAUGUUAAAUUUCACACACUUGUGACUAAAGUUGCUCGGAUAUAAUUUGUAUGCUUGGGAUUCGCCCGAAACUAUCGAUCAAAGAUAUCUCUAAACUAAGAUCCGUGAAAUCGAGCUUUCAAUCGAAUGAAUAUUUAAUGAAAGAAAAAAUUUCAUUGUGUUAAGUCCAAAUAAAAAUAGCGAAGCAAUCUUAUUUACAAAAAACUUAUUUUAAGGAAACUUUUACCCCCCUCCCAUCGACAUCUAAAAAUUCUUUUAGUCUCCUGAGAAUGUAAUUCAGUAGCAGAAAUGCGAAAGCUAUAAAUAUCGAGACACGGUGGUAAUGCAUGGUAAAAUUGUAGGACGGUAAUAUCGUAUAGUAAGUGGAAAUUGCUUCUUCAAUUCUGGCACUUUAAUCCCGAGCAAGAAAAUCGAUGUUUCCCUUAGAUCGACAGGAAGGGUACAUUGAUUUACCUCAGGAACGACAGCUUUAUUACUCUAUUUUUAUAUGUGUGUACCUGUAUAUGUGUGUGUGUAUGUGUACAAACGUAACUGCAUGAAUAAAAUCAGCGCUUGCACCAAGACGACGGCUUUCACCUGAGAUUGAUUCCCAUCCCGACGAAAAAUGCGGCUACGUUGCUGCCGCCACCGCUUUAGGAUCUUGAGAUUGGAUUCUCUUUCCCUCUACCACUAGUUGUACUUUUUCUUUCAUAGUACGACGACGACGACGACGACGAGAACGAUGAGAACGUGGAAAACGAAGCGAGACGAAUCGAAGCGAACGUAAAUAACCAUGACUACUCUUUUACCUUCCGAUUACGUUAUAUUUUUAGUUAUACUAUUUUUUACGAAAGACAUUUCUACGAGCACGAAAUAUUCUUUAUUGAAAUUAUAUCGACCUAUACAAAAAGUUGUAAG